AAGAAGGUACUACAACCACAACAGUAGCAGCUGCUACUCCUACUGGAGGAGAAGGAGGAGAUAAAACUAGUGGAAAGACGUCAAAUAAUGUCUCUACACCAAAACCAGAGAGGAAAAGGGAGAGGUUACCUGAUAAGGAUCCUCCCAGUAAUAGUGAAGCUGUUAAGAAAAGGCGGGAAUCAGCACCUGGUGACUCUUCUAAAGAAACACCAGCUGCAGCUCAACCAGAGCCUAAAAAAAGAAUAAUCAAAGUUGUGAAAAGUGACAAGGCAGAUGUUAGCAAGAAAAGAGCAAAAAGUCCUCCUGCUGCUCUUGUUACUGAAGAAAAGAUUAAGAAACUUUCUACUACUAAACCAACUGCUAAGAAGCCAACCUGAUCAUCUCACCCAAUUCCUAACACACUUACCUCCUCCUUCACUCAUCCCUUCAUUUUGUACAUUAUUACUAAAUUAAAUGACACUUAUUAUUAUUACAGUAUUUUUGAGACUAAUAAUUAACAAUGAAUAUUAAUUAGCCACACCCACUACACGUGUACUUGUGUGAAAAUGAGCAGAAAGAAGCAGUGUCAAUGUUUUAGCUCAGAACUGGAGGAGAAAUGGAAGAGAGAGACAACAAAAAUAACUGAAGAUAAAUUUAAAAAUUUUAUAAAUUCAAUUUUAGAUUCCAAAGACUUAUCAACACAAUUAUCCAGUGUUAAAAAGGUACAGGUUGAUAUUUUAGCUAUAAGAUCCGAGAAUCAUGUUAACACUGAUCCUGAUCACAUUGAUUCUGAUCACACUGAUCUGAUCAUAGUCCUUAACAUCUUAAUUCAAAUGCAUUCAGUUUG
Molecule: long non-coding RNA, 826 nt
Organism: Amphimedon queenslandica
Lineage: Eukaryota; Metazoa; Porifera; Demospongiae; Haplosclerida; Niphatidae
Exons: 7
Source: RefSeq, a predicted model, not a curated record